RNAcentral lists this long non-coding RNA (229 nucleotides) under Trifolium pratense (red clover). RNAcentral's name for it is "long non-coding RNA (TPRA_LNC004859)". The record is from RNAcentral. Lineage: Eukaryota; Viridiplantae; Streptophyta; Magnoliopsida; Fabales; Fabaceae.
CACAAGAAGUUUCUAAGUGUAGGGAGGGACCAACAAUUACACUAUUCACCUAUGAAGCAAUACCUUUGAUACACCCUCAACAACUUUAAUUCCUCUAAUGUGAAAUCAACUGCCUAUGGGACUUAACUAUUUCAAUAGAUAGGCAUCGAAAUACAGAUCUGAUAUAUAUAUAUAUAUAUGUAGUCAAAGUUGAGCAACACUAAGAAACAAUUUUGGCUGCACAUUUAGU